RNAcentral lists this long non-coding RNA (3832 nucleotides) under Homo sapiens (human). Its description in RNAcentral is "long intergenic non-protein coding RNA 662". Lineage: Eukaryota; Metazoa; Chordata; Mammalia; Primates; Hominidae. The record is from RNAcentral.
ACAGGCCCUCUCUCAAGGUCACCACCUCCACUCCCGUUGUAUGCUGGGAUUGUAGUCCGGCCGCCCUGUGACUAACGGCUGGAACCGCCUAAGACACCACCCCAGCCAGCAUGGCCGGCAGGAGCGCACCGCGCUGUCUCCCUCCAGGGAUCCGCACCGCCCUACAAUCCUGCUUUGUGCUGAGAUUGUAGUCCUGCAGGCGUACAACUAACAAGCUGGGUGCAGAUAAGAGACUACAGCUCCCCGCAUCCCAAGCAAAGGUCCCUCCUCUACGGAGCCCCUCCACGCGUCCACUGCGGUUCCGCCGUGCCAAGGGGAGCUUGGCUGUUCACGGGCCUCACCUGCUAGCGAGAAGAUAGCUUGGCCGGGCGGCUGAUCUCACCUUGUAAUUCUGACACUGUGUCUCCCGGGCUUGUCGGCUUCAUGACUUGUGCCCAAAGUUUGAUUUCUCGCAGACCAGGAGGACCCAUUGGACCCCCGGGCUGGCUGCAGGGCCCACACCUGGGUUAGACCUCGCACAGGGACGCUGCUGCCACUGUAAUAAAGCGUGCCUACACGCUUCUGAAACUGGUGUAGGAACAACCUCAGUUCUGUGAAAGGCGGACGCAGCAGGACAGAAUCUCCGUGGACAUCUGUCUGGAGGAGCAAUUUUACUGCGACAUUUUAAAGAAACAAAUUUAAUUGAUUUCCAAGGGUGUCCAUCGCGCUUCCUUCACUGCCUUGAUCAUGUCGGGGUCACCACCUGCGGGGGUUUGUCCUGCAGACCCUGACUCAACGACGGAUGAAUAAUGUACACUGACACAGAUCUUAUGCUUGUCAGUCCUGCUGAGCAUCCAGGCCACUUACAGACUCCAAGAAGAGUCCUGUCAGCCACGGCUCUGACUUGUUGGCCCUCCCGGCAUUUAUUUAGCACACAUUUAAUGACAGAAGUCUCAGGCUGGAAACACUCUUUUUGUAGAACAUACAAAUGGACAUUUCUAAGCACAUUGAGGCCUAUAAUGAAAAAUCAAAUAUCCCACAAUGAAAACUAGAAGGAAGCUAUCUGUGAUAAUGCUUUGUGGUGUAUGGAUUCAUCUCACUGACUGAAACCUGAGUUUUGAUUCACCAGGUUGGAAACACUUUUACUGUAUUAUCUAUGAAGAAACGUUUUUGAGGCCAUUAAGUCCUACACUGAAAAACUGAAUAUACUGCAUUAAACAUUCUAAAGAAGCUAACUGUGAAAAUGCUUUGCAAUGUGUGUAUUUAUCUCACAGAGUUAAACCAUUGUUUUGAUUCAUCAGUUUGGAAACAGUUUCUUUGUAGAAUCUAUGAAGGGACCUUUCAGAGGCCAUUGAGGCCUAUAAUAAAGAAACAAAUAUCCCACAAUAAAACAAGAAACAUAUAGAAACAAGCUGUAUGUGAAAAUGCUUUGUGAUAUCUGGAUUCUUCUCACUGAAUCAAACCUGGGUUUUGAGUCACCAGGUUGGAAACACUUUUUUUGUAAAAUCUAGGAAGGGAAAUUUCUGAGCCCAUUGAGGCACAUAGUGAAAAACCGAGGAUCCUGUGAUAAAAACUAGAAAAACGCAAUAUGUGAAGUUGCUUUGUGAUGUGUGGAUUCGUCUCCCCGAAUGGAAUCUCUGUUUUGAUUCACCAGGUUGGAAACAAUGUUUUUGUAGAAUGUACAAUGAGACAUUUCUGAGUCCAUUUAGGCCUAUACUGAGAAACCCAAUAUCCUGCUAUAAGAAGUAGAAAAAUGCUAUCUGUAAAAAUGCUUUGUGAUGCAUGGAUUCAUCUCACAGAGUUAAAGCUUUGUUUGGAUUCAACAGGUGAAAAACCCUUUUUUACAGAAUCUACAAAAAACAUCUCUGAUCCCAUUGAAGUUUAUAGUGAAAAACAGAAUAUCCUGUGAUAAAAAGUAGAAACAAGCUAUCCGUUGAAAUGCUUUGCAAGGUCUGAAUUCAUCUGACAGAGUUAAACCUCUCUUUUAAUUCAUCAAUUUGGAAACACGCUUUUCUUAGAAUCUAUGAAGAAACAUUUCUGACCCAAUUGAAACCUAUACUGAAAAAUAGAAUAUCCCAAAAUAAAACCAGAGAAAAGUUAUCUCUGAAAAUGGAUUGUAAUAUGUGGAUUCAUCUAACAGAGUUAAACCUUUGUUUUGAUUCAACAGGUUGGAAACACUCUUGUUGUAGAAUCUAUGAAGGGAGAUUUCUGGGAGCAUUGAUGCUUAUAAUAAAAUACAGAGUAUCCCGCAAUGAAAAGUACAAACAACCUAUCUGUGCAAAUGCUUUGCCAUGUGGGAAUUCCUCUUACAAAGUUACACAUUUGUUUUGAUUCAAUAGGUUGAAACACUCUUUUUGUAGCAUCUACUAAGGAACAUUUCAGAGCUCACUGAGGCCUAUAAUGAAAAACUGAAUAUUCCAUGUUAAAAAGUAGAAACAAGCUAUAAGUUAAAAUGCUUUGGGUUUUCUGGAUUUACAUCACAGAUUUAAACUUUUGUUUUGAUUCAUCACCUUGGAAACUUGCUUUUUGUAGAAUCUAUGAAGGAACAUUUCUGAGCUCAUUGAGGCCUAUAGUGAAAAACGGAAUAUCCAGUGAUAAAAACCAGAAGCAAGCUAUCUGUGGAAAUGCUUUGUGAUGUUUGGAUUCAUCUCACAGAGUUAAAUCUUUGUUUUAAUUAAACGGGUUGGAAACACUCUUUUUGUAGAAUCAAUGAAAAGACAUUUCUGAGCCCACUCAGGCCUAUGUUGAAAAAUCGAAUAUCCCACAAUAAAAACUAGAAACAAGGCAAGUAUAAAAAUGCUUUGUGGUGUCUGGAUUCAUCUUAGAAAGUUAAACCUUUGCUUUAAUUAAAUAGGUUGGAAACACUGUUGUUGUAGAAUCUACGAAGGGACAUUUCUGAGGCCUUCGACUCCUAUUGUUACACACUGAAUAGCCCAUGAUAAAAACUAGAAACAAGCUUGCUCUGAAAGUGCUUUGUAAUGCGUGGACUUAUCUCACUGAAUGAAACCCUUUGUUUGAUUCACUAGGUUAAAAACACUGUUGUUGUAGAAUCUAUGAAGGGACAUUUAUGAGUCAAUUGAGACCUACAGUAAGAAACCAAAUAUUUCGUGAUAAAAAUUAGAAGCAAGCUAUUUGAAAAAAUGCUUUGCAAUGUGUACAUUCAUCUCACCAAAUAUAACUUGUGUUUUGAAUCACCUGAUUGGAAAUACUCUUUUUGUAAAAUCUCCAAAGGGACAUUUCUGAGCCCAUUGAGGCCUAUAAUAUAAAACAGACUAUCUUGUGAUAAAAACUAGAAAGAAGCUAUCUGUGAAAAAUGCUUGUGAUAUGUUGAUUCAUCUCAGAGUUAAAUUAUUAUUUUGAUUGAACAGCUUGGAAACACUCUCCUUGUAGAAUCUAGAAAUUGUAAUUUCUGAGCUCAUUGAGACCUAUAGUGAAAAACCAAAUAUCCCGCAAUAAAAACCAGAAACAAGGCAUCUAUGAAAAUUCUUUGUGAUAUGUGCAUUCAUCUCACAGUGCAAAACUUUUUCUUUGAUUCAACAGGUUGGAAACUCUGUUUUUGUAAAAUUAAUGAAGGCACAUUUCUGAGCCCUUUGAAACCUAUAGUGAAAAACUGAAUAUCCCACCUUAAAAAUGAGAAACACGCUAUUAGUAAAAAUGUUUUGCAAUGUGUGGAUUCAUGUUGUGGGAAGUCAGGGACCCCAAAUGGAGGGACUGGCUGAAGCCAUGGCAGAAGAAUGUGGAUUGUGAAGAUUUCAUGGACAUUUAUUAGUUCACCAAAUUAAUACUUUUAUAAUUUCUUAUGCGUGUCUUUACUGCAAUCUCUAAACAUAAAUUGUGAAGAUUUCAUGGACGC